UGUUAGAUAUUUAUGUAUUCGCCUCCUAGU
This 30-nucleotide non-coding RNA is filed under the name Mus musculus (house mouse). Lineage: Eukaryota; Metazoa; Chordata; Mammalia; Rodentia; Muridae. The record is from RNAcentral.